Molecule: long non-coding RNA, 1219 nt
Filed under: Acyrthosiphon pisum (pea aphid)
Lineage: Eukaryota; Metazoa; Arthropoda; Insecta; Hemiptera; Aphididae
Description: uncharacterized LOC103309093, transcript variant X3
Source: RNAcentral
GAUCUUGGGUAACGUGGGCCCGCCGCUUGGUCAUCGUUAUCAACGACAACCAUAUUAUCAUUAGAGUCUUCGCUCGUUUUUUAGUUACUAGUAAUUAUUCUUGAAUUCAAUAUUCAUAAUAAUGUCAAUAUUGGUGUUGUACAACACUCCAAAAGUCCAUUAAUUAACUUUACUGUUGUGGUGCCGUACACCUUUGACAUUUUUUGGAUGGACAAGCAGUUGCUCGUUGACGCGAAGCAAAAAAUCCAAUUUCUUUUGGAACGCAAACAUUUUUAUAUCUUCUUUUGCUAGGACUGCGGCUCCUUGGUCUACGUGUAGUUCACGAGAGAUUUAUUCAUUCAUUCCAUGUGGUUCCAAUAUCUGGUAAAUAUUGUUUAGGACAUCACUUUCAUAUUAUUCACAUAACCUUUCCCAGUUCUAGGAUGUUUGUUAAGUUCUUCAACAUCCGGAUGUGUAUAUACAUGACGUGUUGAUGUGUCGAGUUUGCAAAUCGCGCUGUGAUACUAGCGGUGUUUGUCAUUUAUCCAUCAGGAAAAAUUGUGUAAUGUACAAUUAUCAAUAGACCAUCAAACAGAUUUUUUCCACCGUUCGUUAUCAAGAACAUUGGAGCAAAAAAUGAGUGAGCCUAAUUAACUGAAUGACUGAAUGGAUGAUAUAUUGAUGCUGUAAAACUUCCUACUUUGUAACAACAAGUUGAAAAUUAUUCAAUAUGCAGAAUGUAAUCUAUAAGAUUUAGUGAAUAAUUUACACAGUAACAAUGUGAUUAAUGAAGAUUUGGGAACUGUGGUUGACCAUAAUUUCAGCCGUAUUAUUCUGAAGUUUGUCUUACGUCACUGGUUAUAAUUUGGUUUUGGAGUACGUUUACAACCAUUCAACUGCCAUAUAGAUUCAAAUAAGUAAAUUGGCUCCCUCACCUCAACAAUGACCAACUAUGUAAACAACUAGUAUACAUUAUUCAAUUUUAUAUUAUAUAUCAUUUAUGAUAUGUAUUAAAUGCUGAAAUCCGCAAAAAUAUUUUAAAAAAAUAUCUUAACUGCUGCUUAUAAAAGAGCCUGCUAUCAUUUGAAGGAAAAUGAAUCAGUCAUGUAACAAAAUGCAUGUAAACAUAAAAUGUACAGACCACAAUCAGUGUUGCUUUGUUGUAAUUAAUCAUAAGUGUUUCACACCAUAAUGAUUAAGGAUAAGGAUCUUGCGCUAUCUGAUAAAACUAGACCGAUUU